RNAcentral lists this ribosomal RNA (253 nucleotides) under uncultured bacterium. RNAcentral's name for it is "partial 16S ribosomal RNA". It matches the Rfam family "Bacterial small subunit ribosomal RNA", at positions 524 to 776 of the family's 1533-position model. The record is from RNAcentral.
UACGGGGGGGGCAAGCGUUGUUCGGAAUUACUGGGCGUAAAGGGCUCGUAGGCGGCCAACUAAGUCGGAUGUGAAAUCCCCAGGCUUAACCUGGGAACUGCAUCCGAUACUGGAUGGCUUGAAUUCGGGAGAGGGAUGCAGAAUUCCAGGUGUAGCGGUGAAAUGCGUAGAUAUUUGGAGGAAUACCGGUGGCGAAGGCGGCAUCCUGGACCGACAUUGACGCUGAGGAGCGAAAGCUAGGGGAGCAAACGGG